This 69-nucleotide transfer RNA is filed under the name Qipengyuania citrea LAMA 915. RNAcentral describes it as "Erythrobacter citreus LAMA 915 tRNA-Lys". Lineage: Bacteria; Pseudomonadati; Pseudomonadota; Alphaproteobacteria; Sphingomonadales; Erythrobacteraceae. The record is from RNAcentral.
CAAUACUGUCUGAACGGUAGCAGCUGACUCUUAAUCAGCGGGUCCUAGGUUCGAGCCCUAGUGCGUCCA